UGGCAGUGCGAAUAGCUGGC
This 20-nucleotide microRNA is filed under the name Branchiostoma belcheri (Belcher's lancelet). RNAcentral describes it as "bbe-miR-34f-5p". Its record names the gene bbe-miR-34f-5p. The record is from miRBase by way of RNAcentral. Lineage: Eukaryota; Metazoa; Chordata; Leptocardii; Amphioxiformes; Branchiostomatidae.